AGCGAGAAAGGUCUUUCGGGACUGAGUACAGCGGCGGACGGGUGAGUAACGCGUAGGAAUUUGCCCAGUAGUGGGGGAUAACCCGGGGAAACUCGGGCUAAUACCGCAUACGCCCUGAGGGGGAAAGCGGGGGACCAUUCGGCCUCGCGCUACUGGAGGAGCCUGCGUCGGAUUAGCUUGUUGGUGGGGUAAAGGCCUACCAAGGCGACGAUCCGUAGCUGGUCUGAGAGGAUGAUCAGCCACAUCGGGACUGAGACACGGCCCGAACUCCUACGGGAGGCAGCAGUGGGGAAUAUUGGACAAUGGGAGCCACCCUGAUCCAGCCAUGCCGCGUGUGUGAAGAGGGCUUUCGGGUUGUAAAGCACUUUCAGCGGGGAGGAAAUGCUGGCGGUUAAUACCCGCACAGUUUUGACGUUACCCGCACAAGAAGCACCGGCAAACUCCGUGCCAGCAGCCGCGGUAAUACGGAGGGUGCGAGCGUUAAUCGGAAUUACUGGGCGUAAAGCGCGCGUAGGCGGCUUGUCAAGCCGGAUGUGAAAGCCCCGGGCUCAACCUGGGAAUGGCACCCGGAACUGGCAGGCUAGAGUACAGUAGAGGUGAGCGGAAUUUCCUGUGUAGCGGUGAAAUGCGUAGAUAUAGGAAGGAACAUCAGUGGCGAAGGCGGCUCACUGGACUGAUACUGACGCUGAGGUGCGAAAGCGUGGGGAGCAAACAGGAUUAGAUACCCUGGUAGUCCACGCCGUAAACGAUGUCGACUAGCCGUUGGGGAGCUUGACUUCUUAGUGGCGCAGUUAACGCGAUAAGUCGACCGCCUGGGGAGUACGGCCGCAAGGUUAAACUCAAAUGAAUUGACGGGGCCCGCACAGCGUGGAGCAUGUGGUUAAUUCGAUGCACGCGAGAGCUUACAGCCUGACAUCCCGGGACUGGCAGAAAUGCUUGGUGCUUCGGGACCCGUGACAGUGCUGCAUGC
RNAcentral lists this ribosomal RNA (970 nucleotides) under uncultured bacterium. RNAcentral describes it as "bacterial SSU rRNA". It matches the Rfam family "Bacterial small subunit ribosomal RNA", at positions 65 to 1048 of the family's 1533-position model. The record is from RNAcentral.